RNAcentral lists this unclassified non-coding RNA (276 nucleotides) under Hevea brasiliensis (rubber tree). Lineage: Eukaryota; Viridiplantae; Streptophyta; Magnoliopsida; Malpighiales; Euphorbiaceae. The record is from RNAcentral.
GGGUCAUCCUGUUUCAAAUUCAAUAUCUUGCUCUCUCAUUGCUAUAGCACUGGUGGCAUUAUUUUUCACCAAAUUUGCACAUUUCUCACUCAUCCUCCCUCUAAUUCUUAUUGCACACUCGUUUAAGCAACAGAAGAGUCACCAAAGGAACCUCCCUCCAGGCCCUAUUUCAAUCCCAAUAUUUGGGAAUUGGCUCCAAGUUGGGAAUGACCUUAACCACCGUCUUCUAGCCUCCAUGUCAAAGUCUUAUGGUCCCAUAUUCCUACUAAAGCUUGG